RNAcentral lists this ribosomal RNA (256 nucleotides) under uncultured bacterium. RNAcentral describes it as "partial 16S ribosomal RNA". It matches the Rfam family "Bacterial small subunit ribosomal RNA", at positions 524 to 776 of the family's 1533-position model. The record is from RNAcentral.
UACGUAGGGUGCAAGCGUUAUCCGGAAUUAUUGGGCGUAAAGAGCUCGUAGGCGGUUUGUCGCGUCUGCUGUGAAAACUGGGGGCUCAACCCCCAGCCUGCAGCGGGUACGGGCAGACUAGAGUGCGGUAGGGGUGACUGGAAUUCCUGGUGUAGCGGUGGAAUGCGCAGAGUAUCAGGAGGAACACCGGUGGCGAAGGCGGGUCUCUGGGCCGAUACUGACGCUGGAGGAGCGAAAGCGUGGGGGAGCGAACAGG